Molecule: non-coding RNA, 274 nt
Organism: Nylanderia fulva
Lineage: Eukaryota; Metazoa; Arthropoda; Insecta; Hymenoptera; Formicidae
Source: RefSeq, a predicted model, not a curated record
UUUUCUUCUUCUUCAGAAGACGAAUGCAGAUACAAUUUUGUGCCGACACCUCCUUCUUUGAAAGACAAUUAUGGACAAGAUGAGGUAAGAGAAAAUACCGAUGAAGAAGUUGCAAUAACACAAGAUGCAAGAAGUAACACAUCAAGAAGUUCAUGUUCUGGAGAGUCUUUUCAACAUAAUUUGUCUCUGAAAAAGCUCGAGCGUAUAAAAGCUAUAGACAAACAGGUAGCUGCACAACAGGACAAUAAUUUUGAGGUCAAUUGUGUUAAUUCAA